UACAUGCAAGUCGAGCGGACAGAUGGGAGCUUGCUCCCUGAUGUUAGCGGCGGACGGGUGAGUAACACGUGGGUAACCUGCCUGUAAGACUGGGAUAACUCCGGGAAACCGGGGCUAAUACCGGAUGCUUGAUUGAACCGCAUGGUUCAAUUAUAAAAGGUGGCUUUUAGCUACCACUUACAGAUGGACCCGCGGCGCAUUAGCUAGUUGGUGAGGUAACGGCUCACCAAGGCAACGAUGCGUACCCGACCUGAGAGGGUGAUCGGCCACACUGGGACUGAGACACGGCCCAGACUCCUACGGAA
Molecule: ribosomal RNA, 305 nt
Filed under: Bacillus licheniformis
Lineage: Bacteria; Bacillati; Bacillota; Bacilli; Caryophanales; Bacillaceae
Description: bacterial SSU rRNA
Rfam family: Bacterial small subunit ribosomal RNA
Source: RNAcentral